AUUGGCAAAUGAUGAGUAGAAUCUUAUCCUAC
Molecule: small RNA, 32 nt
Filed under: Arabidopsis thaliana (thale cress)
Lineage: Eukaryota; Viridiplantae; Streptophyta; Magnoliopsida; Brassicales; Brassicaceae
Description: ATSL013330
Source: RNAcentral